Molecule: non-coding RNA, 130 nt
Filed under: Dethiosulfovibrio salsuginis
Lineage: Bacteria; Thermotogati; Synergistota; Synergistia; Synergistales; Dethiosulfovibrionaceae
Source: RNAcentral
CUAUACUUCUGGUCGAAAAGUAAUAUCCGACGUCCUGUAAUCAGGGAAUCCGGUUAGAAUCCGGAGCGGCCCCGCCACUGUAAGUCCAUCCUCGAUGGGCGAGCCAGAUCGCUGAUACAGAGGCGAUGUG